This 204-nucleotide ribosomal RNA is filed under the name uncultured bacterium. RNAcentral's name for it is "partial 16S ribosomal RNA". It matches the Rfam family "Bacterial small subunit ribosomal RNA", at positions 568 to 774 of the family's 1533-position model. The record is from RNAcentral.
UGCGUAGGUGGCAGGGUAAGUCGGAUGUGAAAUCUCCGAGCUCAACUCGGAAAUGGCAUUGGAAACUACCCAGCUCGAGGGUUGGAGGGGGGACUGGAAUGCUUGGUGUAGCAGUGAAAUGCGUAGAUAUCAAGCGGAACACCAGUGGCGAAGGCGAGUCCCUGGACAACUCCUGACACUGAGGCACAAAGCUGGGAGCAAACA